RNAcentral lists this ribosomal RNA (779 nucleotides) under uncultured Neocallimastigales. RNAcentral's name for it is "partial large subunit ribosomal RNA". The stretch from base 5 to 697 matches the Rfam family "Eukaryotic large subunit ribosomal RNA", at positions 24 to 664 of the family's 3401-position model. The record is from RNAcentral. Lineage: Eukaryota; Fungi; Neocallimastigomycota; Neocallimastigomycetes; Neocallimastigales.
CAUAGCGACUAUCGUGGCAUAUCAAUAAGCGGAGGAAAAGAAACUAACAAGGAUUCCCUAGUAACGGCGAGUGAAGCGGGAAGAGCUCAAAUUUGAAAUCUUAAAGGUUUUCCCUUGCACGAAUUGUAGUUUAAAGAAGUGUUUUCUGUUGAAGUUUCGGUAAAAGUUCUUUGGAAUAGGACAUCAUAGAGGGUGAGAAUCCCGUAUUUGACCAUUAUUUUCAGCUGUGUGAUACACUUUCAAAGAGUCGGAUUGUUUGGGAAUGCAGUCCAAAAUGGGUGGUAAAUUUCAUCUAAAGCUAAAUAUUGGCGAGAGACCGAUAGCGAACAAGUACCGUGAGGGAAAGAUGAAAAGAACUUUGAAAAGAGAGUUAAACAGUACGUGAAAUUGUCAAAAGGGAAGCGUUUGACACCAGGUGUUGUUUUCUCGAAAAUCAAUUAAAAAGGAUGGGAUUUUGUGUUGUAUUGACCUUAUCAAGCUUUCUUCACUCUUUUCUUAGUCUUUUUUAAUGCACUUUUCGUUUAACAAGUCAACAUCAGUUUCUUUUGUUGUAAAAGAGUCAUUGGAAGGUGGCUUUUUCUUCGGAGAAAGUGUUUAUAGCCUUUGCUCUCUGCAAUCGGAGAGAUUGAGGUCUGCAGCGUAGACUCCUUCGGGGUUAGAUACAUUUGUGCUAAGCUAUAGUUCUUUAUAGACAACUUGUUGACUAUAAUCUAGUCCUGUAGCUUACUCGCUUAUGCUAUUUUACCUACGCUUAGGAUGUUGAUAUGCAUGACUGAUAU